UAACGCGAAGAACCUUACCAGGUCUUGACAUACCAUUGACCGUUCUAGAGAUAGGAUUUUCCCUUCGGGGACAAUGGAUACAGGUGGUGCAUGGUUGUCGUCAGCUCGUGUCGUGAGAUGUUGGGUUAAGUCCCGCAACGAGCGCAACCCCUGUCGUUAGUUGCCAGCAUUCAGUUGGGGACUCUAACGAGACUGCCAGUGACAAACUGGAGGAAGGUGGGGAUGACGUCAAAUCAUCAUGCCCCUUAUGACCUGGGCUACACACGUGCUACAAUGGUUGGUACAAAGAGAAGCGAAGCGGUGACGUGGAGCAAACCUCAUAAAGCCAAUCUCAGUUCGGAUUGUAGGCUGCAACUCGCCUACAUGAAGUUGGAAUCGCUAGUAAUCGCGAAUCAGAAUGUCGCGGUGAAUACGUUCCCGGGUCUUGUACACACCGA
This 437-nucleotide unclassified non-coding RNA is filed under the name uncultured bacterium. RNAcentral's name for it is "contains 16S-23S intergenic spacer region". It matches the Rfam family "Bacterial small subunit ribosomal RNA", at positions 957 to 1393 of the family's 1533-position model. The record is from RNAcentral.